AUACGGAGGGUGCAAGCGUUAUCCGGAAUCAUUGGGUUUAAAGGGUCCGCGGGCGGUCAAUUAAGUCAGAGGUGAAAGCCCAUCGCUCAACGAUGGAACUGCCUUUGAUACUGGUUGACUUGAGUUAUACGGAAGUAGAUAGAAUAAGUAGUGUAGCGGUGAAAUGCAUAGAUAUUACUUAGAAUACCGAUUGCGAAGGCAGUCUACUACGUAUAUACUGACGCUGAGGGACGAAAGCGUGGGGAGCGAACAGGAGUAGAAACCCUAGUAGUCC
Molecule: ribosomal RNA, 274 nt
Filed under: uncultured bacterium
Lineage: Bacteria
Description: partial 16S ribosomal RNA
Rfam family: Bacterial small subunit ribosomal RNA
Source: RNAcentral